This 364-nucleotide transfer-messenger RNA is filed under the name Phenylobacterium sp. It matches the Rfam family "Alphaproteobacteria transfer-messenger RNA". Rfam says of the family: Bacterial tmRNA, also known as 10Sa RNA or SsrA, is named for its dual tRNA and mRNA-like properties. The record is from RNAcentral. Lineage: Bacteria; Pseudomonadati; Pseudomonadota; Alphaproteobacteria; Caulobacterales; Caulobacteraceae.
GUUCUUCAAAUGUGAACCCAUAGGACCUAUAUGUGUCCUGUCGGGUUUCGGCCCGACUAUGAGGAUAAACGCGCACGUAAUAAGCGGACUGGACCCGGGUGCGAUUCCCGGCGGCUCCACCAAAUCUUUCCCCCGGUUAUCGCGGGCAAGUGCGGGGCCGAUCAGCAUCGACAGACGUCUAAAGGUGUUGCUUUCUUCCGGCUUGGCCCACCGUUUCGGGCCUUAAUCUAAAUGCGAACGAUAACUUCGCUGAAGAAGUCCGUUUGGCCGCGUAAGCGACCCGAUAGAUUUCGACCUAAACUCCUAGCGUCUUAGCAGCGCUAGGCGGGGCCCGGAGGGCGCCUUGCAACAGAAGCCCUCCACC